AGUGAACGCUGGCGGUAGGCCUAACACAUGCAAGUCGAACGGCAGCACUGUAAGAGCUUGCUCUUACGGGUGGCGAGUGGCGGACGGGUGAGGAAUACAUCGGAAUCUACUUUUUCGUGGGGGAUAACGUAGGGAAACUUACGCUAAUACCGCAUACGACCUACGGGUGAAAGCAGGGGAUCUUCGGACCUUGCGCGAUUGAAUGAGCCGAUGUCGGAUUAGCUAGUUGGCGGGGUAAAGGCCCACCAAGGCGACGAUCCGUAGCUGGUCUGAGAGGAUGAUCAGCCACACUGGAACUGAGACACGGUCCAGACUCCUACGGGAGGCAGCAGUGGGGAAUAUUGGACAAUGGGCGCAAGCCUGAUCCAGCCAUACCGCGUGGGUGAAGAAGGCCUUCGGGUUGUAAGGCCCUUUUGUUGGGAAAGAAAAGCAGCAGGUUAAUACCCCGCUGUUCUGACGGUACCCAAAGAAUAAGCACCGGCUAACUUCGUG
This 492-nucleotide ribosomal RNA is filed under the name uncultured bacterium. RNAcentral's name for it is "partial 16S ribosomal RNA". It matches the Rfam family "Bacterial small subunit ribosomal RNA", at positions 29 to 507 of the family's 1533-position model. The record is from RNAcentral.